UGCGUGAUCAGUGCAGAGAUAUUUCACAAUGCCCCUGCAGGCAGAGUGUAAGCAAGAGUUACAUCACCUAGAUGAUCAGUGCAGAGAUAUGUCACAAGGCCCCCUAUACGCAGAGUCGGACAAGAGUUACAUCACCUCAGUGAUCAAUGCAGUGAUAUGUCACUAUGCCCCGUAGGCAGAGCCUAGUCAAGCGUUACAUCACCUGGGUGAUUACUGCAGAGAUAUGUCACAAAGUCCCCAUACACAGAGCCUAGACAAGAGUCCCAUCACCUGGGUGAUCAGUGCAGAAAUAUGUCACAAUGCCCCUAUAGGCCGAUCGAAGACAAGAGUCCUUCACCUGGGUGAUCAGUGCAGAAAUAUGUCACAAUGCCCCCUUAGGCAGAGCCUAGAUAAAAGCCCCAUCACCUGGAUGAUCAGUGCAGAGUUAUGUCACAAAUUCCCUUUAGGCAGAUCCUAGAGAAAGGUUACAUCACUUGGAUGAUCAGUGCAGAGAUAUGUCACUAUGCUACAGUAGGCAGAGCCUAGACUAGAGUUACAUGACCUCGGUGAUCAGUGCAGAGAUACAUCGCAAUGUCCCUGUAGGCAGAGCCUUGACAAGUGGUACAUCACCUGGGUGAUCAUUGCAGGGAUAUGUCACAAAGCACCCUGUAGGCAGAUCCUAGAAAAGAGUUACAUGACCUAGGUGAUCAGUGCAGAGAUACAUCGCAAUGCCCCUGUAGGCAGAGCUUUGACAAGUGGUACAUCACCUGGGUGAUCAUUGCAGGGAUAUGUCACAAAGCACCCUGUAGGCAAAUCCUAGAGAAGAGUUAUAUCACCUGGGUGAUCAGUGCAGAGGUAUGUCACAAAGCCCCUGUAGGCAGAGCCUAAACAAGACUUACAUCACCUGGGUGAUCAGUGCAGAAAUAUGUUACAA
Molecule: long non-coding RNA, 913 nt
Filed under: Homo sapiens (human)
Lineage: Eukaryota; Metazoa; Chordata; Mammalia; Primates; Hominidae
Description: HSALNT0288260
Source: RNAcentral